Long non-coding RNA from Symphalangus syndactylus (siamang), 5815 nucleotides. RefSeq lists it as uncharacterized. NCBI's taxonomy places the organism in Eukaryota, Metazoa, Chordata, Mammalia, Primates, Hylobatidae. The record is from RefSeq and is a predicted model, not a curated record.
GUUUUUGUGUGUUUCGUAUUCCUCGUUUCGCCAGAGCGGUGGUUCCCGAGCUUCGGGCGCGGGACGCGGGGGUGCUCCGAGGCUGCGAGUGGAGGCGUGACGUGACGUCGCUGGCAAGGGGCGCGCGGAGUCAGGCGUUAGAACGUGUUCCCGCCGCACAGCUACCAGCGGCGGUCGAGUAAACGGCACCGCAUGGCGGGCUAGAGACGCAAAGGGACACAACACAGCCCCCUAGGAGCUGAGCCCUUCCGGGGUAAAGCGUUCUCACGUUGAUGAGACCAGGAGGCGGCUCACGCCUGGCUCCGCGGCCCAGGGGUUGCAGGUGCCCCGGGGGUCGCGGGGAGCAGACGCCGCAGAGGGCGAGGCUCUGUCCAGGCCCCGCGCGGACCCUGGGGACGCAGGGUCUGACUCGGAGUGCGGAGGGGCCCCAGACACGCAGUCCAUGUGCCUUGAAACCAGAGGCACGCGCGGCCACGCGCUAGGCCUUUCCCUUAAGCCUGUGACCAAGAUCUCCAGGACGCCCAGCGUUGGGACGGGCGCGCUGGCCCACGCCCAAGCGAGAGGAUCGCUUGCGCCCGGGAGUUCGAGACCAGCCUGAGCACCAAAGCGAGACCUCGUCUCUACAAAAAGUGACUCAAGAAGACACCCAGCGUGAAUCACCCGUCUGCAGCCAGCCUCCCGAGCACCGUGGCCGCGUUUGACAACUGACCUCUGUCUGGGUGUCCCUGUCCUCAGAGGGACACGGGACCUCAGACAGGACCACCGCCCGGCGGCAGGCAUGAUGGUGAGGCUAGUUAGGAGCAGAAUACACAAAAGAAUUUCUCAAAAAACAGUGAAAGAACAGCAACCCGGUAGAAAAACGAGGAAAGAAUAUGAAUAAGCAGCUCCAGAAGAGGAAACUCAGGUGGCCGGUAAACACAUGAAAAAGAUGCCCAUCCUCACGGGUAACCAGGAAAAUGUGUGAAUGUAGCCCUUGAUGCCAGUCAGAGGAAGUCUGCAGACACCAGGGAGUGGGGAUUUGGCACUAGUCAUGCAGCUAAAGGUCGGAAUACUCCAGUGUGGGAUCCGCCUUCCAGUACCUUCCAGAGAAACAUGUUCACAGGGAGAUGGAAAGACCGUGUUUCCUUUGGGGGUUUGUAUUUCUCUGGAAGAUGAGCCGAACGGCUUCCGUGGAACCUGUUGUCUUGUGAAGUGUAGCAGUUUAAGGGAGUGCACCACAUCUGCACAAUUGAUAGUACAUGCUAUGUAAUACCAUUUUUUAUUUAUUUUUUUAGACGGAAUUCUGUUCUUGUUGCCCAGGCUGGAGUGCAGUGGCACAGUCUCAGCUCACAGCAGCCUCCAUCUCCUGGGUUCAAGCGGUUCUCCUGCCUCAGCCUCCCGAGUAGCUGGGAUUACAGGUGCCCGCCACCACACCCGGCUAAUUUUUGUAUUUUUAGUAGAGACAGGGUUGCACCAUCUUGGCCAGGCUGAUCUGGAACUCCUGACCUCAGGUGAUCUGCCUGCCUUCGCUUCCCGAAGUGCUAGGAUUACAGGCGUGAGCCAACGUGCCCGGCCAAUUUUUGUUAAGUUUAGAAACACAUGAUCAAUGACCUAUCUUGUUUUCAAAUGCUUUCAUUUGUAGUAAAAAUACCUAAACAUACUUGAGAAUUAUAUUGAGGCCGUGUGCGGUGGCUCACGCCUGUAAUCCCAACACUUUGGGAGGCCAGUGGGGUGGAUCACUUGAGGUCAGGAGUUCAAGACCAGCCUGGCCAACAUAGUGAAACCUGUCUCUACAAAAAUAGAAAAAAUUAGCCAGGCAUGGUGGCGCAUGCCUGUAAUCCCAGCUACUGGGGAGGCUGAGGCAGGAUAAUUGCUAGAACCCCGGCGACGGAGGUUGCAGUGAGCUGAGAUCACACCAUUGCACUCCAGCCUGGGUAACAGAGCGAGACUCUGUCUCAAAAAAAAAAAAAAGAAAAAAAGAAUUAUAUUGGCCGGGCGCGGUGGCUCACGCUUGUAAUCCCAGCACUUUGGGAGGCCGAGGCGGGCGGAUCACGAGGUCAGGAGAUCGAGACCACGGUGAAACCCCGUCUCUACUAAAAAUACAAAAAAAAAUUAGCCGGGCGUGGUGGCGGGCGCCUGUAGUCCCAGCUACUCGGAGAGGCUGAGGCAGGAGAAUGGCGUGAACCCGGGAGGCGGAGCUUGCAGUGAGCCGAGAUUGCGCCACUGCACUCCAGCCUGGGUGACAGAGCAAGACUCCGUCUCAAAAAAAAAAAAAAAAAAAAAAAAAAAGAAUUAUAUUGAAGAGGGCAGACAGAAGGGGAAAGGGUGAAGGUAGAACUUUGACUAUAUCUAUAACAUUCACUUCCACUGGGCACAGUGGGUCAUGCCUGUAAUCCCAGCACUUUGGGAGGCUGAGGCAGGAGGAACGCUUAAGCCCAGGAGUUCAAAAAACAAAUGAAAAAACAGCCAGGUGUGGUGGUGCACACCUGAGUCCAAGCUACUCAGGAGGCUGAGGUGGGAGGAGCUCUUGAGACCCAGAGGUUUUUCUGGAUUCCACAUAUAAAUGAAACCAUGAAGUCUUCUUUCUCUGACUGGUUUAUUUCACUUAGCAUGAUGUUGGAGUCCAGGAAUUCAAAGCUGUAGUGAGCUGUGAUUGUGCCUGUGAAGCCCUGCACUCCAGCCUGGGCAACAGGGCAAAACUCCCUCUCUAAAGUAAGAAAACAUUUAAAAACUUACCAUAGGCGGGGCACGGUGGCUCAAGCCUGUAAUCCCAGCACUUUGGGAGGCCAAGGCGGGUGGAUCACGAGGUCAGGAGAUCGAGACCACGGUGAAACCCUGUCUCUACUAAAAAUACAAAAAAUUAGCCGGGCGUGUUGGCGGGCGCCUGUAGUCCCAGUUACUCGGUAGGCUGAGGCAAGAGAAUGGCGUGAACCCAGGAGGUGGAGCUUGCAGUGAGCCGAGAUUGUGCCACUGUACUCCAGCCUGGGGGACAGAGCAAGACUCCGUCUCAAAAAAAAAAAAAAAAAAAAAAUUAGCAUAGUCCGGGUGCGGUGGCUCACGCCUGUAAUCCCAGCACUUUGGGAGGCCAAGGUGGGUGGAUCACGAGGUCGGGAGAUCAAGACCAGCCUGGCCAAGAUGGUGAAACCCUGUCUCUACUAAAACUACAAAAACUAGCUGGGUGCAGCCAGGCGUGGUGGCUCACGCCUGUAAUCCCAGCAGUUUGGGAGGCCAAGGCGGGCAGAUCAUGAGGUUAGGAGAUCAAGACCAUCCUGGCUAACACAGUGAAACCCUGUCUCUACUAAAAAUAGAAAAAAUUAGCCGGGCGUGGUGGUGGGUGCCUGUAGUCCCAGCUACUUGGGAGGCUGAGGCAGGAGAAUCACUUGAACCUGGAAGGUGGAGGUUGCAGUGACCCAAGAUGGCGCCACUGCACUCCAGCCUGGGCAACAAAGCAAGACUCCGUCUAAAAAAAAAAAAAAAAACUUAGUAUAAUGUCCUCCAGGUUCAUCCAUGUUGUCACAAAUGGCAGUUUCGCUUGUUUCCCGGGCUGGAAUGCAAUAGCGUGAUCCCGGCUCACCGAAACCUCCGCCUGCUGGGUUCAAGAGAUUCUCCUGUCUCAGCCUCCCGAGUAGCUGGGAUUACAGGCGCCUGCUACCACGCCCAGCUAAUUUUUGUAUUUUUAGUACAGACGGGGUUUCAUCAUAUUGGUCAGGCUGGUCUCGAACUCCUGACCUCAGGUGAUCCACCCUGUCUUGGCCUCCCAAACAGCUGGGAUUACAGGCGUGAGCCACCGUGCCUAGUCUCAAUGUCUCCUUUUUUUAAGGCUGAAUAAUAAGGCAAAUACCUUAAAAACUAAAUACACAGGCUGGGCGCGGUGGCUCACGGCUGUAAUCCCCGCACUUUGGGAGGCCAAGGCAGGCACAUCACUUGAAGUCAGGAAUUUGAGACCCGCCUGGCCAACAUGGCAAAACCCUAUUUCUACUAAAAAUACAAAAAUUAGCCGGGCAUGGUGGCGGGCGCCUGUAAUCCCAGCUACUUGGGAGGCUGAGGCAACCCGGGAGGCAGAGAUUUCAGUGAGGUGAGAUCACACCACGGCACUCUAGCCUGGGUGACAGAGACUCCAUCUCAAAAAAUAAAUAUAAAAAACAUAAAUAGCAACAGAGAGCAAAUCAGCAGUCACUUGGGAAAUAAGGGGUAGGGAUAGAUGAGAGGGAGGGAUUACCAGGUACAGUGCAGCCUGGAUAGUGGUGACGGCUUCACGAUGUAGACACAUCAGCCUCAUCAGACUUCAUACUCCAUAUGUGCGGUUUGCCUUGUGUCAACUGUGCAUCCAUAAAGCUAUCAACAAAAACUGCCCACAAACUAUUUUUAACUGACAACUUUUUUUUUUUUUGAGAUGGAGUCUUGCUCUGUCACCCAGGCUGGAGUGCAGUGGCGCGAUCUUGGCUCACUGCAACCUCCGCCUCCUAGGUUCAAGCGAUUCUGCUGCCUCAGCCUCCAAGUAGCUGUGAUUACAGGCACCCGCCACCAUGCCCAACUAAUUUUUGUAUUAUUAGUAGACAUGGAGUUUCACCAUGUUGGUCAGGCUGGUCUCGAACUCCUGACCUCAAGUGAUCCACCCGCCUUGGCCUCCGAAAGUGCUGGGAUUACAGGCAUGAGCCACUGCACCUGGCCAGACAAGUUUGAAAACGAGAUUAACAUUUUAUGUUCAGUAAGUAAACUUAGAGCAAAGUCACUUUGAGGACCACGUCACACUCUCCCUUGUGGCCUCCAGCAGUUGAGAGCACAGAGCCUCACUCGUGUUCACUGACAUUUUAUUCAGUGGGGAAGAAUUUGUAUUCUCACCUUCAAAUUUGGUAAAGUACAUGUCUUAGAGUAAAAAUAGAACAUGAGUGUGUAAGGCACAACUGAAUUCCUCCUGACUCAGCCCAAGUUUUGAUGAUUUUCUUAUUCUAACACUUCACUAUGAGGCUACGGUGCUUGCUCCGCCUUCCUGGGAUGACCUGGCCGCCCUGGCUCCCACCAGGCCUGGAGCCCUCCAGAGCCCCCGUUCUGCACCCUCAGUGCUCCCCCAGGCCAAAACCGCAGCCUGCAGAGGGGCCCUGAGGAGCCAGCAGGAGAGGCUGUGCAGAGCUUCCUCUCUCGGCCCCUCUACAUUUUCCAAAGCAGCAGCGAAGUCUAGUCCUCAUCACUCUCCUCUUCCCUGUGUAACAAUUUUCCAAGUUACACGUGAUGGUCGAAGAGCUGAAAGGUAAUUCUUCGUAUUUCUGGCGAAUAUUUCUCAUUCUUGCUCGGACAAACACCUGCCUGGCGCAGUCUGGCACCUCCCAGCUAUCUUUGAGGUUUCUCAGGUUCCCUAGCACAAGAGAGCAGCCCUGAGACCCAUGUGGUCACUGGAAGGAACUCGGAACUCACUGAGAACUUAGUAGCAGGGUGUGUGUGGGUCAUGGCAACACCGGUCAGUGCCAGCCAGAAACCCGUGAUGGAUGGUCUGCUGACACAUUUUCUAGAAGAAGCCUCUCUCCCAGCCCACAGCGGCUGUUGGAGUGGCCACAUUCAUAAGGUGAGGCCAACCCUCAGCCACUGUUUAUUCUUUAUUUUUUAAUUAUUUAAUUAUUAUUAUUUUUUGAGGCAGAGUUUCACUCUUGUCACCCAGGCUGGAGUGCAAUGGCGUGAUCUUGGCUCACCGCAACCUCUGCCUCCAUCAGGCUGGUCUCAAACUCCUGACCUCAGGUGAUUUGCCCACCUCGGCCUUCCAGAGUGCUUGGAUUACAGGCAUGAGCCGCCGCACCUGGCUGACGCACUAUUUUGUAUUAUUUAUGGUAUGAGACAGAGUCUC